Molecule: ribosomal RNA, 188 nt
Filed under: Allochromatium warmingii
Lineage: Bacteria; Pseudomonadati; Pseudomonadota; Gammaproteobacteria; Chromatiales; Chromatiaceae
Description: 16S rRNA. Bacterial SSU
Rfam family: Bacterial small subunit ribosomal RNA
Source: RNAcentral
UUGAACUGAAGAGUUUGAUCCUGGCUCAGAUUGAACGCUGGCGGCAUGCCUAACACAUGCAAGUCGAACGGCAGCACGGGGGAGCUUGCUCCCUGGGUGGCGAGUGGCGGACGGGUGAGUAACGCAUGAGAAUCUGCCUGGCAGAGGGGGAUAACCCGGGGAAACUCGGGCUAAUACCGCAUACGCCC